This 2938-nucleotide ribosomal RNA is filed under the name Hydrolithon cf. reinboldii. RNAcentral describes it as "LSU rRNA". It matches the Rfam family "Eukaryotic large subunit ribosomal RNA", at positions 82 to 2879 of the family's 3401-position model. Lineage: Eukaryota; Rhodophyta; Florideophyceae; Corallinales; Hydrolithaceae. The record is from RNAcentral.
AGUAGCGGCGAGCGAAGCGGGAAGAGUCCGAGAUGAAAAUCCUUUCGGGGAGUUGUAAUCUGGGCAAUGUUGAGUUUGUCGUGAGUGUAAGUCACAUGGAAUUGUGUACCGUGGAGGGUGAAAGUCCCGUCCAGCGCUCACAAAGGCAUUACUCGUACGACAUUGUUUCAACCGAGUCGGGUAGCUUGAGAUCGCUGCUCUAAUAGGUGGUAAACUUCAUCUAAGACUAAAUACUGGUGGGAGACCGAUAGCGAACAAGUACCGUGAGGGAAAGAUGGAAAGCACUUUGAAAAGAGAGUGAAAAGUACCUGAAACCGCCACGGGGGAAGCGUAUUGCAUCAGUGCUUUGCGUUUAGUGUCUGUUCAGCGAACCUGAAGUGUUUGUGUUUUCAGUUGCACUAGCGCAUGUUGGAAUGGCUGUCGAGUUAACGGUAAGUGUUAACUGCAACGAUAGUGAGGGCUCCCUCCACGCAAGACGAGGUGAGGAUUUCAACAAAAUGAUGCGAUUCGACCCGUCUUGAAACACGGACCAAGGAGUUUAGCAUUACUGCGAGUCGAAGAGUGUAUUAAACUUAGAGGCGAAGUGAAAGCGAGUAUAGCGUUAUUGUUGUUGUGUGUACUGUGGUGAUUCACAUGAACCGCAGCAGCAGCUAUGUGAGAUUUGUGAUAACAAAUCGAGGAGGUAUUGCGUCUUUGACAAAGUACCCUACCUGGAGCAGUAAUGCUGAGACCCGAAAGAUGGUGAACUAUACUGGAGUAGGGCGAAGCCAGAGGAAACUCUGGUGGAGGCUCGUAGCGAUGCUGACGUGCAAAUCGCUCGUCGAACUUGAGUAUAGGGGCGAAAGACUAAUCGAACCAUCUAGUAGCUGGUUCCCUCCGAAGUUUCUCUCAGGAUAGCGGGCCGACACUCAUCGAACAUCACUUGUGGUUGUUUUGUGUGGUAAAGCGAAUGAUUAGCGUAUUUGGGGGCGUAAUGCUUUCGGUCGAUUCUCAAACUUUAAAUACGCAAGAUAGAGGUUGUUGCUUUAUUGAACUCCUCAUUCUUUGAAAACGUCGGCCUUGUGGGCCACUUUUGGUAAGCAGAACUGGCGAUAUGGGAUGAACCAUUAGUUUGGUUAAGGCGUCUAAAUAUUCGCUUAUAGAUCCCACGAAAGGCGUUGGUUCAUUAAGACAGCAGGACGGUGGCCAUGGAAGUCGGAAUCCGCUAAGGAGUGUGUAACAACUCACCUGCCGAAUGAACUAGCCCUGAAAAUGGAUGACGCUUAAGCGAAUUGCCGAAACCAGACCGUUUUGGCAAAGCAGUACACGGUCAAAAUGAGUAGGAGGGCGUGGCGGUUUUGUUAAGAAGGGUGAGACGCAAGUCUACCUGAAACGGCCGCUAGUGCAGAUCUUGGUGGUAGUAGCAAAUAUUCAAGCGAGAUCCUUGAAGGGCGACGCGGGGAAGGGUUCCACGCGAACAUUGAUUGGGCGUGGGUGAGUCGUUCCUAAGCCGGGUGGUAAUCGUUCUUGACGAUCGGCGAAAGGGAAUCGGGUUAAAAUUCUCGAACACGGAUGUGGAGGCGGUGACGCAAAUUGAGGUGGAGACGUUAGCGGUGGCACUAGGCAGAGUUUUCUUUUCUGUUUAACCUAAUGUGCAUGUGGCUACGCUACCAUCACUUGUAACGAGUGUGUGUGUAUGCUAUGUGUUUGUGUACUCUGUGGAAUCCGAUUAUCGGAAGAAACAGGUACCUAACUGCGGGAAGAGGGUCGGGGUGUCCCCGGCCUCUAGUAUGCCACCGAUAGCCCUUGAAAAUCCAUCUGCAAUAUAAUUUCACGCCGUGGCGUACCGAUAACCGCAUCAGGUCCCCAAGGUGAACAGCCUCUGCUCAAUAUGAACAAUGCAGGUAAGGGAAGUCGGCAAAAUAGACCCGUAACUUUGGGAAAAGGGUUGGCUCUAGUGGGGUGAAGGGGAUGGUGUGUGCGCGUGUGGGUGCACAUUGUCUAACUGUGAUUAGUGUGGUUUGGCUUUGUAUACUUGGUAAUGGCUAACUGUGGGGCGCUCUAUGCUGCUACCGGUUUUGGCUUGCACUAGUAUCUUAGUUCUACGAACUUCGCACUUCUCCGACCUUCAAUAUGCUCUAGACUAGAACUGCAACGGGCAAAGGGAAUCCGACUGUUUAAUUAAAACAAAGCAUUGUGAUGGCCGAGGUCGGUGUAGACGCAAUGUGAUUUCUGCUCAGUGCUCUGAAUGUCAAAGUGAAGAGAUUCAAACAAGCGCGGGUAAACAGCGGGAGUAACUAUGACUCUCUUAAGGUAGCCAAAUGCCUCGUCAUCUAAUUAGUGACGCGCAUGAAUGGAUUAACGAGAUUCCUACUGUCCCUAUCUGCUUCUAGCGAAACCACAGCCUAGGGAACGGGCUAGGCAAAAUCGGCGGGGAAAGAAGACCCUGUUGAGCUUGACUCUAUUCUAAUUUUGUGACGCAAGUUAGGAGGUGUAGCAUAGGUGGGAGCUUCGCGUGCGGAGCGUCAAUGAAAUACCACUACUCUUAAUCUUGUUUUACUUAUGGCGUCAAACUGCACGACCUCUAUGCGGUCUAGUUUUUGGCAUCAACUUGGAUUCAUGUACACGCUCUACCUAGUUCUCUAGAGUAGAGUCGGUACCUCCUUGGAGCAGCGCGCCUGACAUAUUUAGGAGGGGAGUUUGGCUGGGGCGGCACAUCUUCUACAAGACAACGAAGGUGUCCAAAGAUGAGCUCAGUGAGAACAGAAAUCUCACGUAGCGCAAAAGGGUAAAAGCUUGUUUGAUUUCGAUUUUCAGUGUGAGUUGAAAACACGAAAGUGUGGCCUAUCGAUCCUUUCACAAUUCGAGGUUUGAAGCGAGAGGUGUCAGAAAAGUUACCACAGGGAUAACUGGCUUGUGGCGGCCAAGCGUUCAUAGCGACGUCGCUUUUUGAUCCUUC